Molecule: long non-coding RNA, 519 nt
Organism: Suricata suricatta (meerkat)
Lineage: Eukaryota; Metazoa; Chordata; Mammalia; Carnivora; Herpestidae
Exons: 2
Source: RefSeq, a predicted model, not a curated record
UCAGUGGGGCUGCCCCUCCUCCUCUCAGCAAGGGGAAAUUAGUAGGAGGCCGCCUGGGGAGACUGAACUCCCUCUCAGCUCAGCAUUAACAGGAUUUCCCCCCCAUCACCACUAUCCCAGCCACCCCCCUGAUGGAGGCCCAGCUGGGAACCUGGACUUUGAUCUGUGCUUGGCCUUAAUGAGACUUCUGGAAGCCGCUUUCCUACCUUCAUUCCUGGUCUGUGGCCUUCAUUCUUGUUUUGGUUACAAACUCGACGGACUUUGAAGAGAACUUCUGGGUGCCCUUGUCAUCGAGCCUGCCAUCCCACUGGGACCCGAACAGGACCCCCUGCAUUCCUGAUGUGGUCAAUGGACUCUUUUGCUGCCAGUACGCAAACUUACCCAUGGGGUCCCAUCUUUUCUUUUUCAAGGUCAUCGCUCUGCUGUACCCUCAGUAAUUCUGUUCUCUGUUGGAGUCAUCUUGUCAAUAUGCCAAUAUGCUGUAAUUGCUUUCUUCUUAAAUAAAAUUAAGAAACAAAA